CAAUUAAGUGUAAACGGUGGAUGCCUAGACACAAGAAGCCGAUGAAGGACGUUGUAGGGUGCGAAAAGUCUCGGUGAGGUCCCAAACAACCUUUGACCCGGGAAUGUCCGAAUGGGGAAACCCGCUAUGGUGGAAGACCAUAGCAUCAUAUACUGAAUACAUAGGUAUAUGACGGUAAGCUGGCGAAUUGAAACAUCUUAGUAGCCAGAGGAAAAGAGAGAAACACGCACGAUCUUUUACUAGCCAUUUUCAUGAGCGGCUGGUAAAAGUAUCGUGUUCUAUUCCGCUAGUAGCGGCGAGCGAAAACGGAUCAGCUAAAACCUAAUUAACUUAAGCAGAAUGAUAAUUCCCUUCGGGGAAGAGGAUUUUUGUGGAAGGCUUUGCGGCCAUAUGUUGAUUAUGGGGUUGUGAGAAUAUUAUAUUUUAAAAGCGCAAACUUUUAUAAAGAGUUAAAAUUAACUUCCCUAGUAGAAUCUACUGGAAAGUAGGACCAGAGAAGGUGAUAGUCCUGUAUGCAAAAGGGGUUAAUACUCUUAUAAUAUUUCUCGAGUACCACGGAACUCGUGAAAUUCCGUGGGAAUCAAGCGCGACUAUGCGCUAAAGCUAAAUACUUCUUGUGAUCGAUAGUGAACUAGUACCGUGAGGGAAAGGUGAAAAGCACCCCUUUUAGGGGGAUGAAAUAGUAUCUGAAACCGUUUACUUACAAAGAGCUGGAGCCCUCCUUCGCUUUUCGCUUCGCGCAAAAGCUACGGAGGGGCUUCGCCCUGCAUAUAAUUAUGUAUGGGGCGUAGCCCCACCGUAGCCCGAAGCGGAGCGUAGGGCGAAGGUGGGUGACAGUGUUCCUAUUGAAGAAUGAGCCAACGAGUUUAUAUAUACUGCAGCUUAAGCUCCUAUGGAGUGAAGGCACAGGGAAACCAAGUCUUAACCGGCGUAUGACUUUAUUACAUUGCCCUUUUUGGGCAGUGUAAUUGAGUCAAGGUAGUAUGUAUAAGACCCGAAGCCGAGUGAGCUAGCCAUGGGCAGGGUGAUAUCGCCGUAAUAAGCGGAGGAAGCCCGAACCCACUUGUCGUAUAACGCAAGGGGAUGACCUGUGGUUAGAGGAGAAAUUCCAAUCGAACUCGGCAAUAGCUGGUUCUCCUCGAAAUAGUUUUAGGACUAGCUGUUUGUAUACCCGCGGGGGUAGAGCACUGAAUGGGAUGGGGUGACUUUUGUCUACCUAUCCUAACCAAACUCCGAAUACCGCGGUUUUCAGCAAACAAGUCAGACCAUGGGGGCGAAGCUCCAUUGGUCAAAAGGGAUACAGCCCAGAUCGUCAUCUAAGGUCCCCAAAUUAUGGUUAAGUGGUAAAGGUGGUGUUAGGACUCAUACAACUAGGAGGUUGGCUUAGAAGCAGCCAUCCUUUAAAGAAAGCGUAAUAGCUCACUAGUCCAGUCCUUUCGUGCCGAAAAUUUAACGGGGCUAAACCAUAUACCGAAGAUACGAACUAAUCAUUUUUAAUGAUUAUUGGUAGAGGAGCAUUCCAGUGGCGUUGAAGCGUACACCGUGAGGUGGCGUGGAGCAGCUGGAAGCGAGAAUGUUGGCAUAAGUAGCAAGAAGGCAGGCGAAAACCCUGCCCGCCGAAAAUUCAAGGUUUCCUGGGCAACGAUAAUCGACCCAGGGUUAGGCGAUCCUAAGCCGAGGCCGAAAGGCGUAGGCGAUGGAAGAGACGGUUAAUAUUCCGUCCCUAGUAAUUGUUUGUUUUAUAGUGACGCAGCGUUAACUGCUUGAACGUCCUUUUGGAUUGGGACGUUUGCUUUCAGGUUUGGUUUACGCCAGAUCAGUUAGUGAGAAGAAAAAACCUUCGGGUGGAUUCAAUUCAGGCGUGCGUGCUGCCUAGAAAAACUAUAAAACGUUAAGCUUUUACUAUCCGUACCGUAAACCAACACAGGUGAAUAGGUCGAGAAGACCAAGGCGUACAAGAUAACCCUCGUUAAGGAACUCGGCAAAAAAGCGGCCGUAAGUUCGCAAUAAGGCCUGCCCGGCAUCUGCCGGGCCGCAGCUAAAGAUUUCAGGCGACUGUUUACCAAAAACACAGGUCCCUGCUAAACCGUAAGGUGACGUAUAGGGGCUGAUGCCUGGCCAGUGUCCGAACGUUAAGGGGAGAGGUGCAAGCCUUGAUCCGAAGCGCGGAUGAACGCCAGCGGUAACUAUAACCGUUCUAAGGUAGCGAAAUUCCUUGUCGGGUAAGUUCCGACCUGCACGAAUGGCAUAACGAUCUGAAAACUGUCUCAACGAGGGACUUGGCGAAAUUGCAAGAUGAGUGAAGAUGCUCAUUACCCAUGGUUAGACGAAAAGACCCCGUGAAGCUUUACUAUAACUUGAUAUUGGUAUAUAGAUUUUUAUGUUUAGAAUAGGUGGGAAACUUUGAAGCUUGAGCGCUAGCUCAAGUGGAGUUACCAGUGAAAUACCACCCUUAAAACUUUGUAUAUCUAACUUUGCGCCGUUAGCCGGCCAAAGAACAGUAUCUGGUGGGUAGUUUGACUGGGGCGGUGGCCUCCUAAAAUGUAACGGAGGCGUUUACAAAGGUUGACUAGCGCUGGAUGGAAAUCAGCGCGAUAGGGCAAACCCAAAAGUCAGCUUUACUGCAAGGGCAACAACCCGAGCAGUUGCGAAAGCAGAAGUUAGUGAUCCGACCGUACGAUAUAGGACGGCGGAAGCUCAACGGAUAAAAGUUACUCCGGGGAUAACAGGCUGAUCUCCCCCAAGAGCUCACAUCGACGGGGAGGUUUGGCACCUCGAUGUCGGCUCAUCGCAUCCUGGGGCUGAAGAAGGUCCCAAGGGUCCGGCUGUUCGCCGGUUAAAGCGG
RNAcentral lists this ribosomal RNA (2845 nucleotides) under Candidatus Falkowbacteria bacterium CG10_big_fil_rev_8_21_14_0_10_37_14. RNAcentral describes it as "bacterial LSU rRNA". It matches the Rfam family "Bacterial large subunit ribosomal RNA", at positions 1 to 2596 of the family's 2925-position model. Lineage: Bacteria; Candidatus Falkowiibacteriota. The record is from RNAcentral.